Molecule: long non-coding RNA, 1891 nt
Filed under: Scophthalmus maximus (turbot)
Lineage: Eukaryota; Metazoa; Chordata; Actinopteri; Pleuronectiformes; Scophthalmidae
Description: lncRNA (ENSSMAG00000032201.1)
Source: RNAcentral
UGAGAUAUAAGACACUUCAUUUAAUUAUAUGAAAUGCUUUUGUUUUGUUUUCCUGUGUGCUUGUAUGUUUUGUCAAAUGUUCUAUUUUUUUUAACAUUCGCUCAGUCGUUUUGUACUACAAUUCUAAGCGAAAAAAUUGUAUAAGUUUUGAUUGAUACACAAUAAAGAUAUGAAGGGGAAAAAUUAGUAAAAUACAAGUACGUUAACCCCCAGUAAAUAGAAAUACUUGUAAAAUAAAAACUAAAAACAGUGCUACAUGCUGGACAAGAAAGGUUCCUGUACUUUCAUAAAGUACCACCUUCCUCCUGAGCAGGGACGUUGUGGGGGUGAAAUGAGUCCCCCCCCGGAACUUUAAUUGAGAUCCUGUUCCCUGUGGUGGAAACGCAUGGAGUCAAAGGUUCCUAGUUCCUGUGGAAAGUUGUAGUCAUCACUCCGGCCAAGCAUUUAAGCCCCUUCUCUAUUGUUGAUGAAACAACCCCCCAAGUAGCUUUGGGGGCGUGUCGUUCAAUCAGCUGAUCUUGUGACGCACCUGCACUUGGCGCGGGAGAGGAGCGUCAGAGCGAGCGCGCCAAUUACCUGUUGUUGUUGUUGUGGUGGUGGUGGUUAGCAUCUGGAGGAAGCUAGAGAUCCACGUCACUAUGACGAGACGCGAAGUCCGAGGAUACAAGAAGCUUUUUGAAAAGAGAGAGGGUGAAGAGUCGACAAGUGGCGCAGCUGGAGCUAAAGGAGGAGGAGGAGGAGGAAGAAGAGGAAGAGGAGGAGAAGGAGGAAGAGGAGGAGGAAGAGGAAGAGAAGGAGGAGGAAGAGGAGGAGGAAGAGAAGGAAGGAAGGAGGAGGAGGAGGAGGAGGAGGAGGAGGAGGAGGAGGAGGAGGAGGAGGAAGAGAAGGAGGAGGAAGAGGAGGAAAAGGAGGAGGAGGAAGAAGAGGAGGAGGAGUUUUCUCCUGUCGGCGAAGCAGCAGGUUGGACGGCGUGGGCUACUCAACUGUCUUCAAUUGUAUCAACACAUGAGGGGUAUUGCCGCAAUUCAAAGGGAAGACAGUGUCCUGUCAAGUGAACAUGAAAAGGCGGCGGGAAGGAGGACAGGUACAGCAGCAAUACCUCUCUUUACAAGCAAUCCUCUUGCAUUAUGCAUCUGAGAGGGUGUUUCAUUUGUCACAAAGCCUCGCUAUGUACGAUGAGGACCAGUCUUCUCUGAUUGAAUUUCACGGAGCAGCUGCGAACUUGGAUUUUACCGAAACCACAUUUCAAUAAUGCAGUUUCUUCGGGAGGUCUUGGCAUAACGCAUUCUCUGCUCUCCGCUGUGCGUGGAGAGUGAAAGUUGUUAUAAGAAUAUUAAAUCAAAAGAGUUAUAAAGGAGGAAUCAUCCAUUAUUCAUUUCGAACAGAGACAGGGAGCUGGAAAAAAAAGGCAAAGUCUGCAUAUGUCAGCGAUAAAAAGCAUUAGGAUGCUGCUUAUGUGGCUGUGUCGAGUGUAAGGUGAGACAAUAAGGUUUUUUGAGAUAUUACAAAAAAAUUGCUCCUGUUCUGUAGGAGCAAAGUUGAUCCUUUUCUUUCAAGUAACAGAAAAAAGCAUACGACUUAAUAACCUGUGAGGUAAAUUACAUUCAGCAAUUACAAGAGUUUGACUUCCUGCCCACUUUUUAUACACUGGAGCUGAAAAAUUGCCACUUAAUUGCACAAAGGUGACAUCUAAUUUUCUUUGUACUGUUUUUGCACUUCAUUUUUUUUUACUCUUAAGCUUAAAAGAGGCCUUAAAUGGUAAAUUUAAUAAAUAACAACAGGUUUAAUAUUCUCUCGUCUGAUUGUUUCUGCCCUCAAAUUAUCUACAGAGUAUGGCGUCUAAACGUAGGAUGAAUGAAUCUUUAAAACGUUGCAGGUCAGAAUAUCACCA